This 262-nucleotide long non-coding RNA is filed under the name Elaeis guineensis (African oil palm). Its description in RNAcentral is "long non-coding RNA (EGUI_LNC017950)". The record is from RNAcentral. Lineage: Eukaryota; Viridiplantae; Streptophyta; Magnoliopsida; Arecales; Arecaceae.
AGUCCGAAUUCUCUGGCAAGUCGCGACAACGGACACUGCUCCACUCUCCGUAAUAGAUUUCACAUGGCCCCUCUACUUUUUGGCAAGUCACAAUAACGGAUACCACUCCACUCUCCAUAACAAACUCCACGUGGCCCUGAACGGCCCACUGACGCUACUACUCUUUGUAACAAACUCCGCAUGGCUCCGAACGGCCCACUACCAGGCAGUUACAGAUGUCGCUGUCAAUCAGUUACGCUCUUUCAUCUAUAAAAGAGACCCC